UCGGGUUGUAAACCGCUUUUAGUGGGGAAGAAAAGAUACGGGAUAACACCUCGUGUUCUUGACGGUACCGGCGGAAUAAGCACCGGCUAACUACGUGCCAGCAGCCGCGGUAAUACGUAGGGUGCGAGCGUUAAUCGGAAUUACUGGGCGUAAAGCGUGCGCAGGCGGUUCGUUAAGUUGGAUGUGAAAGCCCCGGGCUCAACCUGGGAACGGCAUUGGAAACUGGCGAGCUUGAGUGUGGCAGAGGGGGGUGGAAUUCCGCGUGUAGCAGUGAAAUGCGUAGAGAUGGGGAGGAACACCGAUGGAGAAGGCAGCCCCGUGGGCCAACACAGACGGUCAGGCAAGAAAGCGUGGGGAGCAAACAGGAUUAGAUACCCGGGGUAGUCCACGCCCUAAACGAUGCUCAGUAGGUGUUGGGGAAGCGAUUCUU
RNAcentral lists this ribosomal RNA (430 nucleotides) under uncultured beta proteobacterium. RNAcentral describes it as "bacterial SSU rRNA". It matches the Rfam family "Bacterial small subunit ribosomal RNA", at positions 418 to 840 of the family's 1533-position model. The record is from RNAcentral. Lineage: Bacteria; Pseudomonadati; Pseudomonadota; Betaproteobacteria.